Molecule: long non-coding RNA, 406 nt
Organism: Symphalangus syndactylus (siamang)
Lineage: Eukaryota; Metazoa; Chordata; Mammalia; Primates; Hylobatidae
Source: RefSeq, a predicted model, not a curated record
GCGCAUGUGGACAGCCCAUCCCGAGGGAAAAAUCAGGGGAGAGGAGACUGGGCAUAUGCCAACUUAUAAAACACCAAGUUGAAGGUGAAACCACAGAAUUGGCUCUUUCAACUUGCCUGCUUGGCCCUCUUCCAAUCAGAUUUCAGACUUCAAAAAAUCCUGUGGAGUGACUCACUGAGGAAAACACUGAGUUUUCCUGCCAACACCAGUACCAACUUGCCAGCCAUCUGAAAGAGCCAUCUUGAAGGCAAAUGCUCUAGCCUCAGAGCAAACCUUCAGAUGACUGCAACUCCAGCCAACAUCUUGAAGUCUCAUGAAAGGCCCUGAGACAGAACCACCCCAAUUAUCUACUUUCAAAUUUCUAACAUAUAUAUGUGAGAGACAAUGAAGAUUUCUCAUUGUUUAA